Molecule: ribosomal RNA, 861 nt
Filed under: uncultured archaeon
Lineage: Archaea
Description: bacterial SSU rRNA
Rfam family: Archaeal small subunit ribosomal RNA
Source: RNAcentral
CACCCGCAGCACGAGUAGUGGUCACUUUUAUUGAGCCUAAAGCGUUCGUAGCCGGUUUUGUAAAUCUUCAGAUAAAGCCUGAAGCUUAACUCCAGAAAGUCUGAAGAGACUGCAAGACUUGAGAUCGGGUGAGGUUAAACGUACUUUCUGGGUAGGGGUAAAAUCCUGUAAUCCCGGAAGGACGACCAGUGGCGAAAGCGUUUAACUAGAACGAAUCUGACGGUAAGGGACGAAGGCUAGGGUAGCAAACCGGAUUAUAUACCCGGGUAGUCCUAGCUGUAAACAUUGCCCAUUUGAUGUUGCUUUUCCGUUGAGGGAAGGCAGUGUCGGAGCGAAGGUGUUAAAUGGGCCGCUUGGGAAGUAUGGUCGCAAGACUGAAACUUAAAGGAAUUGGCGGGGGAGCACCGCAACGGGAGGAAUGUGCGGUUUAAUUGGAUUCAACGCCGGAAAACUCACCGGGAACGACCUGUGCAUGAGAGUCAACCUGACGAGCUUACUCGAUAGCAGGAGAGGUGGUGCAUGGCCGUCGUCAGCUCGUCCCGUAGGGCGUUCACUUAAGUGUGAUAACGCGCGAGACUCACAUCUUUAAUUGCAAAUGUAUAUGAGAAUAUGCAUGCACUUUAGAGAAACCGCCAGCGCUAAGCUGGAGGAAGGAGUGGUCGACGGCAGGUCAGUACGCCCCGAAUUUCCCGGGCUACACGCGCAUUACAAAGAACGGGACAAUACGUUGCAACCUCGAAAGAGGAAGCUAAUCGCGAAACCCGUCCAUAGUUAGGAUUGAGGGCUGUAACUCGCCCUCAUGAAUCUGGAUUCCGUAGUAAUCGCGGGUCAACAACCCGCGGUGAACAUGCCCCUGCUCCU